CCCGAAGAGUGACGAGAAGACCACACUUUACAUCUUUCUUUCAAAAGAGGAGAACGCGCUCAUAGAAAAAAAAAAAAGAUCCUCGCGCGGACGCGGAACCAGUGGCACGUCCUUUAGCUGCUGCGGUCCGGUACGGGGAAAGAAGUUCGGACAUAUUCUAUAUAGGAAGCGCUCCUUGCCUGAAGAAUAGGCGUCUUUCAUACCUUUUAACAGUUAGAACGGGC
This is a non-coding RNA of Lupinus albus (white lupine), 224 nucleotides long. The record is from the annotation of a GenBank genome assembly. NCBI's taxonomy places the organism in Eukaryota, Viridiplantae, Streptophyta, Magnoliopsida, Fabales, Fabaceae.